GACGAACGCUGGCGGCGUGCUUAACACAUGCAAGUCGAACGGUAAGGCCCUGCGUUUGUGGGGCGCUCGAGUGGCGAACGGGUGUGUAACACGCGAGUAACCUGUCCCUGAUUUUGGGAUAACUUCAGGAAACUGGGGCUAAUACCGGAUAGGAGCUCCUGCUGCACGGUGGGGGUAGGAAAGUUUCGGCGUUUGUGGAUGGACUCGCGGCUUAUCAGCUUGUUGGUGGGGUAGUGGCUUACCAAGGCUUUGACGGGUAGCCGGCCUGAGAGGGUGACCGGCCACAUUGGGACUGAGAUACGGCCCAGACUCCUACGGGAGGCAGCGGUGGGGAAUAGUGCACAAUGGGCGGAAGCCUGAUGCAGCAACGCCGCGUGCGGGAUGACGGCCUUCGGGUUGUAAACCGCUUUCGCCUGUGACGAAGCGUGAGUGACGGUAAUGGGUAAAGAAGCACCGGCUAACUACGUG
This 468-nucleotide ribosomal RNA is filed under the name uncultured bacterium. RNAcentral describes it as "partial 16S ribosomal RNA". It matches the Rfam family "Bacterial small subunit ribosomal RNA", at positions 28 to 507 of the family's 1533-position model. The record is from RNAcentral.